UAAAAUCCGUUGAUCCAUUGAAGACCACCAGUGGCGAAGGCGGCUUGCCAGAACGCGCUCGACGGUGAGGGAUGAAAGCUGGGGGAGCAAACCGGAUUAGAUACCCGGGUAGUCCCAGCUGUAAACGAUGCAGACUCGGUGAUGAGUUGGCUUAUUGCUAACUCAGUGCCGCAGGGAAGCCGUUAAGUUUGCCGCCUGGGGAGUACGGCCGCAAGACUG
This 219-nucleotide ribosomal RNA is filed under the name uncultured Caldisphaera sp. RNAcentral describes it as "partial 16S ribosomal RNA". It matches the Rfam family "Archaeal small subunit ribosomal RNA", at positions 633 to 851 of the family's 1478-position model. Lineage: Archaea; Thermoproteati; Thermoproteota; Thermoprotei; Acidilobales; Acidilobaceae. The record is from RNAcentral.